GUCUACGGCCAUACCACCCUGAACGCGCCGGAUCUCGUCUGAGCUCGCAAGCUAAGCAGCGUCAGGCCUGGUUAGUACUUGGAUGGGAGAUCGGCUGGGAAUACCAGGUGCUGUAGGCU
Molecule: ribosomal RNA, 119 nt
Filed under: Aotus nancymaae (Ma's night monkey)
Lineage: Eukaryota; Metazoa; Chordata; Mammalia; Primates; Aotidae
Source: RNAcentral